GCCCCCGUGGUGGAGUGGUUACCACAUAGCUCUUAUAUUUUCGGGUCAAGCCGGAGGUAUGCUAGGGUCGCCAGUUCGAACCUGGCCGGGGGCA
Molecule: non-coding RNA, 94 nt
Organism: Drechmeria coniospora
Lineage: Eukaryota; Fungi; Ascomycota; Sordariomycetes; Hypocreales; Ophiocordycipitaceae
Source: the annotation of a RefSeq genome assembly